Molecule: ribosomal RNA, 501 nt
Filed under: uncultured bacterium
Lineage: Bacteria
Description: partial 16S ribosomal RNA
Rfam family: Bacterial small subunit ribosomal RNA
Source: RNAcentral
AUUGAACGCUGGCGGCAUGCCUUACACAUGCAAGUCGAACGGCAGCACGGGUGCUUGCACCUGGUGGCGAGUGGCGAACGGGUGAGUAAUACAUCGGAACGUACCUUAUCGUGGGGGAUAACGCAGCGAAAGCUGUGCUAAUACCGCAUACGCCCUGAGGGGGAAAGCGGGGGAUCGAAAGACCUCGCGCGAUUAGAGCGGCCGAUGCCUGAUUAGCUUGUUGGUGGGGUAAAAGCCCACCAAGGCGACGAUCAGUAGCUGGUCUGAGAGGACGCACAGCCAAACGGGGACUGAGAAACGGCCCGGACUCCUACGGGAGGCAGCAGUGGGGAAUUUUGGAGAAUGGGGGCAACCCUGAUCCAGCAAUGCCGCGUGGGUGAAGAAGGCCUUCGGGUUGUAAAGCUCUUUUGUCAGGGAAGAAACACCGGCUCUAACACAGUCCGGGAAUGACGGUACCUGAAGAAUAAGCACCGGCUAACUACGUGCCAGCCGCCGCCGUAA